This 502-nucleotide ribosomal RNA is filed under the name uncultured bacterium. RNAcentral's name for it is "bacterial SSU rRNA". It matches the Rfam family "Bacterial small subunit ribosomal RNA", at positions 15 to 518 of the family's 1533-position model. The record is from RNAcentral.
GAUCCUGGCUCAGGAUGAACGCUGGCGGCGUGCCUAACACAUGCAAGUCGAACGGAGUUAUAUUUAUGAAGUUUUCGGAUGGAAUAAGUAUAACUUAGUGGCGGACGGGUGAGUAACGCGUGGGUAACCUGCCUCAUACAGGGGGAUAACAGCUGGAAACGGCUGCUAACACCGCAUAAGCAUACAGCAUCGCAUGAUGCAGUGUGAAAAUAUUAAUAGGUAUGAGAUGGGCCCGCGUCUGAUUAGCUGGUUGGUAAGGUAACGGCUUACCAAGGCGACGAUCAGUAGCCGGCUUGAGAGAGUGACCGGCCACAUUGGGACUGAGACACGGCCCAAACUCCUACGGGAGGCAGCAGUGGGGAAUAUUGCACAAUGGGGGAAACCCUGAUGCAGCGACGCCGCGUGAGUGAAGAAGUAUUUCGGUAUGUAAAGCUCUAUCAGCAGGGAAGAAAAUGACGGUACCUGACUAAGAAGCCCCGGCUAACUACGUGCCAGCCGCGGC